This 2722-nucleotide long non-coding RNA is filed under the name Cottoperca gobio. RNAcentral describes it as "lncRNA (ENSCGOG00000002897.1)". The record is from RNAcentral. Lineage: Eukaryota; Metazoa; Chordata; Actinopteri; Perciformes; Bovichtidae.
CUGAAGAAGAGGACAGAAGGAGAAGCGUGGGAGGUUGUCAGCAUGCGAGACGCAGACGAGACGUUGUCGCUUCUUACCUCCCUGACACGGGAUGGCUCCUACCACAGAAGGCCACAGGCAGACCUUAGAGACCGAGAGCCUCCUCCCUCCUCUGUCCAGCCUGAGACUCCGAUUCUUCAACCUGCUACCACCAACUCCAUUGAAGCUCCACCUCACCUCAACACCACCUCUGACUCCCAGCUUCCUGGACCUGCAGAGGAGUGUGAUGAGCAGAUAGAGAAGCUGUUGGAGGACAUCAUGAUGGGCCUGAACAUCCUGCCAAACGUGGAGAGGGACUGCAAGAAGUCCCAUUAUCUUCCACCAAACCAUGACGAAGCACCGGCCAUUUGCCAGGUCCCAGUUACAGAGAACGAGCGGCCGCAGAGUCGGGUGCCUGCUGCCGUCCGUGCAGCAGGGCGCGUGUAUUACCAGGAUGUUGGGACACAAAUUGGUCAAUCAUCAACAAAUACAGGUAUGUAUUGUUGUUUUACAGCUCAGAACCAGCCCAGCUGCUCAAGCCUUUCAUCUGUACAGCCGACUUCUGUGCUAACGCAGCAGCAGCAGCAGCAGCGGCGGCGGCGCUUUCCUCAGUAUCACCCAUCUGUCACAUCCAUGGUGCAAAGAGAUGGAAGGAGCCACCAGGGCAUGUCACUGUCCAAAAGUACAAAAUUGUCCAUAUCCUGAAGCACCCACAACACGAUCAGUCAUACCCACAGCUCUCAACUCCAGUGGGCAGAAACUAUUUUCUGCCCUUACAUAUUACCCAGCAUGCCAGGAACCGUCUUCACAACGCAAUCCAAACAUCCUGGAGUUUUUACCCGUGACGAAUGGAAAUGAAGCACAGUCCUCGCAUUCUUUACCUUGCAUGGAUGAUUUACGGCUUCCUUCAUGUCUCUCUCCAUUAGAUCAGCCGACCCUCAACGACUCAACGGACCAAAGCAAUACAAUUCAGACACAGCCAUCUUUUCACAGGCGACCCUGGCUCACAGUAAACCCCGGAUCACUACAGUUUCCUCUCAGUGCCAUCACUCACAAAGCAAAUAAAAGUGCGUCUUUUCCACAGCAUACAAAGCACAGCUGUUUGUUCAAUCCACAAAAUUGGGGAACCCGGGCAGCAUUGUGUACUGGGAAAGAGGUGGAAGAGAGAGGAGCAAUAUCUGCUAGCCAUCAAAAUGUGACAGAACUGAAAUCUGCUCCCAGGAAGAUAAAAUGUGAACAAGGUGACACUAAAGGUGAUGCUGUGGCGCCUAAAAGAAGGAAGAGAAAGUGCACAAGUCAUCCGCAAGAGGCCAGUUCUGUUUUGGCAUUCAAAUGUAUGAAAGUCAGUGAUGAAACCCAAGACCUGAGAGUUUGUUCAGUCAGUUUGUCGAGCAGCAAUGUGUUGGCGAAGGAAAGGGAAAUAACCGCCGGUUCUUCAAACAUACCAAACAAAGUUGUAGGGAAACCAAAUGAGCCGUCAACCAUCACAGACAAUCUGAAUGAGAAAACCAGAGUGCCUAGAGGUCUCAAAUCUGACCCACAGACACGGAUCAGGACCAGGGGCUUUUUAAAAAAAACUCAAGAGACGCCAAGUAACGCGAGCAUAGAAGAUUCAGCUUUAAAACCCGCGACCCCUAGAGCUCAGAUUGUCAAUAAAGAAGGAGUCCCCAAGCGGGGACGCGGAAGGCCACAGAAAACAAAGGUUGAAAAGAGCCCUCCAGAGAACUCUCCUGCCUUGGUGGAAAAAAAGAGCCAGGAUGUGAACAGAGAGGCUCAAAUUAACCGCAAUUUACUGGAGGAGGAGGAGAGUGAACAAAAUAAGAGAAAGUCUAAGAAACUGAGGAAGAAUAGAGGAGUGGAGGCAAUACCACUGAAGAAGACCAGAAGUGCUGAAAGCACUGUCAAGGCUGUGGCAGACGAUAACAAUGAAGUAAUCCCAGCAGGAAGGAAACUUGGGACACCCAAACAGCCUCAGAUGGUCAAUCUGAAGGAGUUUCAAAAGCUUAUCAAACACCAGCACUCAAAAGCAGGCAGGGCAAAAGAAAUGCAGGAACAGGAAUCAAAUGAAACAUCAAGAGCUGUAGAAAGUGAAGGGAAUGCAUGUGGCAGCAGAGUUGAAGAAUUACCUAAGGAGACAGAAAUGGACAUUGCUCAGCCUCAGAACAGGGACGGGAUCAAGUCAACAUGUGGGUAUCUCAAAUCCCAGCGAGAUGACAGAAACGGCUCUGCUAGUGAAGACACCAGUUUGUUGGUUGAUGAGUCCCAUCCCGUGUUUUCCGUUGAUGUUUUGGGAGAAGACGUUUCCACGUUAGCAGCUGAGAGGGAGCAGCCAUCAAAGAAUCCUGAUGAAGGAGUGUUAGAUACAACACAGCAUCAUGCUAUCACCGAUGAAAGCUCGUCUCACAGUGACACCCACCUGCCUCAACAAGACGAAAUACCUUUGAACUACAACUUGAAUCCACAGACCCCCGAGAGCACUGCUCCACCUCUGUCAGACGCUGUCGGGUUCAGCAAGAGCUCAGGCUGCGAUCAAGGAGAAACAAAAGAAGAAGAGGACGUGGAUGUUGACGUUCUGAUUUACUCCCCAGACCAAGUGCCUCAGACCGGAGAGUGUGAGAACAGACUCGACUGCAUUGAAAUAACUCCCGAGGAGGAAGAGGAGGAAGAUGUGACCGAGGUUGAUGUGACUGGAGAUGAGGUUUGA